UUGCCCUAGUAACGGCGAGUGAAGCGGCAACAGCUCAAAUUUGAAAUCUGGCUCUUUCAGAGUCCGAGUUGUAAUUUGCAGAGGGCGCUUUGGCGUUGGCAGCGGUCCAAGUUCUUUGGAACAGGACGUCACAGAGGGUGAGAAUCCCGUACGUGGUCGCUAGCCUUCGCCGUGUAAAGCCCCUUCGACGAGUCGAGUUGUUUGGGAAUGCAGCUCUAAAUGGGAGGUAAAUUUCUUCUAAAGCUAAAUACUGGCCAGAGACCGAUAGCGCACAAGUAGAGUGAUCGAAAGAUGAAAAGCACUUUGGAAAGAGAGUCAAAUAGCACGUGAAAUUGUUGAAAGGGAAGCGCUUGCAGCCAGACUUGCCUGUAGUUGCUUAUCUAGACUUUUGUCUAGUGCACUCUUCUGCGGGCAGGCCAGCAUCAGUCUAGGCGGUUGGAUAAAGGUCUCUGUCAUGUACCUCUCUUCGGGGAGGCCUUAUAGGGGAGACGACAUGCAACCAGCCUGGACUGAGGUCCGCGCAUCUGCUAGGAUGCUGGCGUAAUGGCUGUAAGCGGCCCGUCUUGAAACACGGACCAAGGAGUCUAACAUCUAUGCGAGUGUUUGGGUGUCAAGCCCAGACGCGUAAUGAAAGUGAACGGAGGUGGGAACCCUUUGGGUGCACCAUCGACCGAUCCUGAUGUCUUCGGAUGGAUUUGAGUAAGAGCAUGGCUGUUGGGACCCGAAAGAUGGUGAACUAUGCUUGAAUAGGGUGAAGCCAGAGGAAACUCUGGUGGAGGCUCGCAGCGGUUCUGACGUGCAAAUCGAUCGUCAAAUUU
Molecule: ribosomal RNA, 818 nt
Filed under: Neosetophoma lonicerae
Lineage: Eukaryota; Fungi; Ascomycota; Dothideomycetes; Pleosporales; Phaeosphaeriaceae
Description: partial large subunit ribosomal RNA
Rfam family: Eukaryotic large subunit ribosomal RNA
Source: RNAcentral